ACAGGAUCCAGAAUGAGAAUUGAAAGUAAUGGCUGAGCAGUUCGCUGCCGUGUAAUGGCAUGAGAGCAAGAUGAAGAUGCAGAACCAGCAUCUCACAGACGAACAUCCUGCUGAGCCUGACAUUUCUGGAGGUGCUUCCCGACGGCUUGGACCGGACGCCAGGGAUUCACACCCUCUGUUCCUGAAGGUGGAAACCUUCCAAACUGCUGACCCAAGCAACGGGUGGUCACCGCACUCCAAACAACAGCUCCAGUGCACCUGGAGACCAGCUCCAGAAAGCAAGUUAAACAAUGAAAUGGUAAAGUAUCUGAGCAGGCGUGUCCCAGGUGGGAACAGACUUGUAGCCAGGACAAGAGCGCCCCACACACAUGUCUGCGUCUGCUUGUGCAACUGUGCUUUGAAAAUAGAACGUGUCUGAUAUUCAACAUGGAACACCCAGAUGUAAGAUAUAAAAUGCCCGUGCAGGUGCUGCUCACCCGUGCAAUGCUAGCCGCGGCGUGCUGUCAACAGUUCCUUGAUUCCUGAAGCAAACACGUCCCCCAUGUCCCAUACCUUCUAUCAUGGCCAGAGCCCCUGAGCACCUGUAUUCAGGAGCCCUGGACAGGUGUGAGUGCCCUGUGUCUGCGGG
This 628-nucleotide long non-coding RNA is filed under the name Vulpes vulpes (red fox). RNAcentral describes it as "lncRNA (ENSVVUG00000022172.1)". The record is from RNAcentral. Lineage: Eukaryota; Metazoa; Chordata; Mammalia; Carnivora; Canidae.